GACGAACGCUGGCGGCGUGCUUAACACAUGCAAGUCGAACGGAAAGGCCCUGCUUUUGUGGGGGGCUCGAGUGGCGAACGGGUGAGUAACACGUGAGUAACCUGCCCUUGACUUUGGGAUAACUUCAGGAAACUGGGGCUAAUACCGGAUAGGAGCUCCUGCUGCAUGGUGGGGGUUGGAAAGUUUCGGCGGUUGGGGAUGGACUCGCGGCUUAUCAGCUUGUUGGUGGGGUAGUGGCUUACCAAGGCUUUGACGGGUAGCCGGCCUGAGCGGGUGACCGGCCACAUUGGGACUGAGAUACGGCACAGACUCCUCCGGGAGGCAGCAGAGGGGAAUAUUGCACAAUGGGCGGAAGCAUGCUGCAGCACCGCCGCGUGCGGGAUGACGGGAUUCGGGUUGUAAACCGCUUUCGCCUGUGACGAAGCGUGAGUGACGGUAAUGGGUAAAGAAGCCCCGGCUAACUACGUG
RNAcentral lists this ribosomal RNA (468 nucleotides) under uncultured bacterium. Its description in RNAcentral is "partial 16S ribosomal RNA". It matches the Rfam family "Bacterial small subunit ribosomal RNA", at positions 28 to 507 of the family's 1533-position model. The record is from RNAcentral.